Molecule: ribosomal RNA, 663 nt
Filed under: Escherichia coli
Lineage: Bacteria; Pseudomonadati; Pseudomonadota; Gammaproteobacteria; Enterobacterales; Enterobacteriaceae
Description: partial 23S ribosomal RNA
Rfam family: Bacterial large subunit ribosomal RNA
Source: RNAcentral
UGUAUAAUGGGUCAGCGACUUAUAUUCUGUAGCAAGGUUAACCGAAUAGGGGAGCCGAAGGGAAACCGAGUCUUAACUGGGCGUUAAGUUGCAGGGUAUAGACCCGAAACCCGGUGAUCUAGCCAUGGGCAGGUUGAAGGUUGGGUAACACUAACUGGAGGACCGAACCGACUAAUGUUGAAAAAUUAGCGGAUGACUUGUGGCUGGGGGUGAAAGGCCAAUCAAACCGGGAGAUAGCUGGUUCUCCCCGAAAGCUAUUUAGGUAGCGCCUCGUGAAUUCAUCUCCGGGGGUAGAGCACUGUUUCGGCAAGGGGGUCAUCCCGACUUACCAACCCGAUGCAAACUGCGAAUACCGGAGAAUGUUAUCACGGGAGACACACGGCGGGUGCUAACGUCCGUCGUGAAGAGGGAAACAACCCAGACCGCCAGCUAAGGUCCCAAAGUCAUGGUUAAGUGGGAAACGAUGUGGGAAGGCCCAGACAGCCAGGAUGUUGGCUUAGAAGCAGCCAUCAUUUAAAGAAAGCGUAAUAGCUCACUGGUCGAGUCGGCCUGCGCGGAAGAUGUAACGGGGCUAAACCAUGCACCGAAGCUGCGGCAGCGACGCUGAUGCGUUGUUGGGUAGGGGAGCGUUCUGUAAGCCUGCGAAGGUGUGCUGUGAGGCAU